UUCAAUUGUUGCAUUUGGCUUGCAAAUUGCCACUAGCAACAACACAAGGCAGCUAAUCAGAUACAAUGAAUUUAAGACCAAAUCAUCUACCUUGGCUAAGAAUAACAACACCUGUUUCUUUUUUCUUCAUCUCUGAAACAGAGAAUAGAAAAGAAAACUAGUUCAACAAUAUGAUGGUCAAAAUACUAAAACAUGCAGAAGCUAAGCUCGAUCUAAAUCAGUAAAUCUGCAUACAUUUUUCGCUUCUUCAAUAAUCGAUCUAGAUCAUGAAUUGCUUGCUGCUCAGACCUCAGAGAAGAAAAGCCGUUGCUUGUAACCGCCGUCUGCUAGUGACAGGUGAUGAGGUGAGAACCGUGAGGUGAACUAGUGAAGGGCAAGGCAGCCCUUUCUGGUUUUGCCGUUUUGAAGAAAAGGGGAAGAAAGAUUUAGGUUAGGUGAAGUAGUGAACUGUUAAGAGGAAGAAAGAUUUCGGCUUUGGGUGAGGAUCAGGUGACAACAUUUGACUAUUUGGGCAACUUUUCAAAUUUUCUUCCUUGGCUGCUGCUUAAACAGUCCACCUACAAGCUAGAAAAAUUAAUAGGGCCGGCCAAGUCAAAUGAAUGUGAAUUGUUGUUUUGGUGUGCAGUGGUAUUUACUAUUUAGUCUUUGAAUAAGUUUUUAAUAUUUAUUUAUUUAUUUUUAUUUUAGAAACGGGUUAGCGGAUCAACCCGAUUUGGACCCUUUUUUUUUUCGGGUUUAUCGGGUCUGACCCGAAUCCUCAAAAUCUAAACCCAAACCCAUUAAUUUCGUGUUAGAUUCAUGUCGUGUUUUCAGAUCGUGUCGGAAAUUACCACCCCUACUAGUGAAUUUUGACUCUCUUUAUUAUAAUUGUUUCUUUACUUUAACAGUUAAUUAUGUUACUUUUGGAUAUAUUUAACUUGUAAUUUUUAGAUGUUCAUAAAUUUCUUUAUGUUUGACAAUUAAAUUGAUGCCAUGAUUCUUUUGUUCAUUUUGAGUAUAAAUAGGGCAAUUGGCUCCAUUUAGUCACCACUUCAAAAGGGAGGUACCCUAUUAUUAUUUAAAUAUCAAUUACAUGUUCUUAUGUGCUUCUACGUGCUCCUAUGUGUUUAUAUAUUUUUAUAGGGAGAACUGCACCAAUCGUCCCUCACAUAUUACAGAUGUGAAAAUUUAGUCCUUCAGAACAAAAAUGAUCAGUUUUAGUCCCUAACAAACAAAAAAUGAUCACCUUUAGUCCCUUUUCACUUUUCCGAAGAAAUUUUGGCCGGUUUGCAAUGCCCAAUUUUUAAAGGGUAAAAGUGGCAAAUCACCGUUGACCAAUUAUUGGAGGGACCAACUGUACAAAACUUUAGUUAAACAUUCAUAAAAAAACACAAAAACUAACCCACCAUUAUUUGCAAUUCAUCUCAACCCAAAAUCUUAAUACCCAGGAAUUCAACAGUAUAGCAUUGGCGUAUUCCACUGUGCUAGAUUAAAAGAAUAUGCAGGGAAAGCAUAAAGAAAGGAUUGAACUUAAUGAGAUGAAGACGAUCAAAGAAGUAGAUAAAACAAAUUUUAGUGCUGGUGCAAGCACCAUUACCGCAGGCAUACGAUUUACCAAGUUUAGAUAAUGACCUUGUUACCAAGUACCACGUUGGAGCAAGAGAGGAAUAUAUGCCCAAACUAGCCGAAAACAGAAUAUCCCAACAAUAGUUCAUAUUAACAGAGAAGAGUACAAGACCAGUUCAACUAGCAGACAAACACGAGUCCUUCAUUUAAACCAAAUAAACCAAAAGAAAAAAUUGCAAAAAAGCCUUGGUAGCAAAAAAAUAAAAAAUAAAAAUCCCAGAAUCUAUCACUAGUAGGUAAAUUGUGGCCAUGAAACUACAAUGUAGACAAUUGAAGAAGCUACAGUUAAAACUAGAAGCUGGGAUCGGCCGGAUCUUGACUAUAAGAUGGAUUCAAACUCCAGAAGAAGACUUGAGCACGACAGAAUUAGCACAGCAAGUAAUGCACAACAACCACCCGGAAUUAGCGCAAACGGUCGAAACAAGUGAUGAAUACUGAACAAAUCAGCGCAAAGUUGUAGCAAAAGUAUCAGCAUAGCAAUUAAAUCAGAGAACCCACCCGGAAUCGAUAGAGAAAGUCACUAUAGAAAACAGCAUUAAAGCCCAAAAAAAAAAAGGAAGAAACAAAACAACGUACUUACUGGCCUCUUCACGAGUCUCUUCUCCUCUCCCAUUCUUGACCACCCCAUAGUAGCUUUGACUCUGUACAAGAAUAAUAGAGGGAGAGAAGAGAAUAAGAGCAAAGGAAAGAGGCGAAAUAGGUGUGAUUUUGUAUUUUAGUGUGGGCUUUGUAUUGUG
Molecule: long non-coding RNA, 2342 nt
Filed under: Coffea arabica (coffee)
Lineage: Eukaryota; Viridiplantae; Streptophyta; Magnoliopsida; Gentianales; Rubiaceae
Description: long non-coding RNA (CARA_LNC002524)
Source: RNAcentral